RNAcentral lists this ribosomal RNA (409 nucleotides) under uncultured Propionibacterium sp. Its description in RNAcentral is "bacterial SSU rRNA". It matches the Rfam family "Bacterial small subunit ribosomal RNA", at positions 976 to 1382 of the family's 1533-position model. Lineage: Bacteria; Bacillati; Actinomycetota; Actinomycetes; Propionibacteriales; Propionibacteriaceae. The record is from RNAcentral.
UGGGUUUGACAUGGAUCGGGAGUGCUCAGAGAUGGGUGUGCCUCUUUUGGGGUCGGUUCACAGGUGGUGCAUGGCUGUCGUCAGCUCGUGUCGUGAGAUGUUGGGUUAAGUCCCGCAACGAGCGCAACCCUUGUUCACUGUUGCCAGCACGUUAUGGUGGGGACUCAGUGGAGACCGCCGGGGUCAACUCGGAGGAAGGUGGGGAUGACGUCAAGUCAUCAUGCCCCUUAUGUCCAGGGCUUCACGCAUGCUACAAUGGCUGGUACAGAGAGUGGCGAGCCUGUGAGGGUGAGCGAAUCUCGGAAAGCCGGUCUCAGUUCGGAUUGGGGUCUGCAACUCGACCUCAUGAAGUCGGAGUCGCUAGUAAUCGCAGAUCAGCAACGCUGCGGUGAAUACGUUCCCGGGGCUU